This is a non-coding RNA of Enterococcus faecalis V583, 185 nucleotides long. The record is from Rfam. NCBI's taxonomy places the organism in Bacteria, Bacillati, Bacillota, Bacilli, Lactobacillales, Enterococcaceae.
GUACAAAUGUGUUAUACUACACAAGUAGGAAGUUUAUGACGGUGGCAAUUUCUCAAAAAAAGGGGGACUGCCAAUGUUUUUGCUUGUUUGCUCUUUCCCUAGAAAGGAAUAGUAGUGACUGUCUUUGAAGCAUUGAUGCUUGCGAUUGCUUUCGCAACAUUAAUUGUCAAAAUCAGUAAUAAAAA